UGCCGCGCUUAGAAGAUCAGCAGCAACUCAGGGGUAACAGCACUGUGGUCGGGACUGCUGAGUGGCGCAUGUGCGUGUGUUUCACAGACGCCCCACCACACUCUUCUUGACAGCCUUCGCUCAUCCAUCGUCAAUAUCGAAGGCCAUGUCGAAUAGGUUCUUUCAGAAGUUUUACCUGCGGUGCGGCGACUGCUCGGCGAUCCAGCGUAGUGCCCAGGGGUACAAGCCGAUCGUCAACCCCAUUCUCUUCAAGUCAGAUGAUCACUGCCGCAAUUACCACGACGAACAGCGCCGCGCCGCCGGGUACUCUGGCAUGCUGGUGACGUGCCGCUGUGAUCGCUGCCAGCGCGUGCAUUCUAACUGGAAGGUGCUUGAUGCGCAGCAGUUCCUUGACGCAAAGAUGCGCAUGACGCCGGAGGAGCGCACUCAGCGCUUGUGGGCUUCCAAGUCGUAACAAGCAGAAGGGAGCAAAUGAGGGCUGCGGCAGCACCGCUGCGGGCCACGCACUGCUGGCGGGAUGUCGGGGAGAUCGAGAGGCGCAAGAGUGCAGGGGAACGCCCCCUUUUCAACCCCCGAUGCCCUAUCCUUCGCGUCAUCUCCGCACUUUGAUGCUAUUCUACAAUGUCGUCGCUGCUGAUGUUCAGACGGGAUGCUCAGCGCUGCGUGUUACCGUCGAUGCGUGAUGCUCGCUGCUGCACUUCUGUUCUCCCCUCGAUGCGUGCCGUCUUGGAGGAGGAGGGGGAGGGCUCGCUGUCUCGCUUGCGGUGGGACUGAUUGUGCGAGAGCGUUGGAGGCGCGGGUGGUGGCGCGCACGUGUGUAUGGUGAGGUUUCGCGCUUGGAGAAGGAAAGAAAGGGACGUGAGCGUGUCUGCGUUGGCUGUUGGCGAACCGCUUUUCUCGUUUCGCCGCUUGUUUUGUCGGCUCCCCUCGACCUCUCCCUCCUCCCCUCCAUAUCGGACGUGCAACGGUGCUUGGAAGGGUUCGACUGUUUCUUGCCGAUGUAAAAGUCGUGCUCAUACAUACUGAAGGGGGGGGGGGUGCACGUUCACGCGAUAACGCACAUGGUGGUCACAAAGCAUAGAGUGGGGGCAAGCCCUCUCUUAAUCUAUCAUGCAUGCGGCUAUCGUUGCGCUCCAGACGCAGCCGCAUAUCCGCCGCUCUCCGGUUGUUUAUCUGCAGCAGCACGCGCGACUGCAGCGAGCGUGCGUGGUUGCUGGUGACGUGAACGUGUGUGUGCGCGCACAGAUCGCCUCAGCUCUUCCUUACCCCUCUGUCUUCAUCCCGUCUCUUCUGCUUCGUUUUCCCUCGUUUCUCCACCCGCUGCGGCGGCUGCACGCGGCCCCGCCUCGUUGUUGUUGGUUGUUUGUUUCGCGUGCUUCCGCCACAACAUCCACUAAUGUGCAUCCGCACACGCACCGCCCUACGCGCCCGCACAUGACCUUACACCUUCGAUACGGGAGCAUCCAG
This 1467-nucleotide unclassified non-coding RNA is filed under the name Leishmania donovani. RNAcentral describes it as "gene:LdHU3.18.0390(CDS-product:hypothetical_prote in_conserved)". Lineage: Eukaryota; Euglenozoa; Kinetoplastea; Trypanosomatida; Trypanosomatidae. The record is from RNAcentral.